GGGCUUACAUGGACUGAACUAAAAAACUUUGUUCUUUAAUGGACUGCAAAAAUUAAAGCCCAACUCCAUCAAAUUAAAGAUCAGAUCGGGCUGAACCAUCGGGCUGGCCAAUAUUAACCGCUCUACCACAAUUCUACAACGGCAAAACCAGCUACCACGACAAAAACCAGUACAAUGUUUAACACCAACACAGCUGCAACGUCCACUAAAAGCAGCCUUUAACAACGGCGUACAACAAAACAAUGGCAAAACGGCAACUCACAUAACAACAAAAACAGUUGCGUACAACAACUGUAUCAACAACAAACAACGACAACACAUAGCAAAGCACCGUUAACCAGAAAAACCUUAAUUUCCCAUUUACCGAUUUAUCACCCUCCCCCCCACCCCCGGCGCGCGUUCAGCUAUCUAUGGCUAAAAAUCAGAUGACUUUCACCACAUUCAGUCCAUUAUUCACUUUUUCGGGUAGGAAUUUAAUUCCCAAUGUUUCUCUCUUUGUCUCACAGUGGAUUUCAAUUAUUCUCAAGAAAAUCAGUUCAAUUUCGGGUUUGAAUCUGAAUCCCUAGACUUCCCCCCCUAAUUUCUCUUAUAAAUAGAGGCAGUGAAGGAUAGAGUGGAGAAGAUUUUUUAGGGGAAAAUUGAGGAUUCGGGUGGCGCAUGCUUCUAAUCCUAGGUAACCCAAAAAAUUCUCGGAGAAACAUACUCAAAAACUCAAUUCCGAUGAAAGUUAAACUCCAAAGAUUCAGAAUUUAAACUCUAGUGGUGAAAGCCCAUCCUCAAAGUUCGUCGUUCCGUUUGCUGCCCGCAAAAAGGUAAACAUAGCCUGCUCUUUGUCAUUUCCUCUUGUUUUUUUAUUUUUCUUCUCAUUAGUAGCAAUGUGUAAUGAGUGUUGGGACUGUCUGCUGUAGACGGCUUUGAAAGCCAUAGGUUUUGUGUGAUGAAUCCACUUUUCUCCGUUUUGUUUUUCUCAUUUUUCUCAGAGUUAUCAUUCUGUAGUAAUUUGACUGAUUUGAUGAUAAUUGUUAAGUAUGGUGUUGUCGCUCUAGUAUCUAGAUUUUAUUAUAUUUUUGUUGCUGCUUUAGAGAUUGAAUAUCAUUGUUAAUGUGAGUAUGCUGGUUCUGUUCAUAUAAUAGUCAGUGAUGUGAAGGGUAUGUUGUUAGUUUGGAAGACACUGUUUUCUUGCUUGUAUAAAGCCUUUGUGUUAGUCAAAUGUGAACUCUUAAAAACUUUUUCUUUCCUUUGCUUCGUUCUGCCAGUGUAAAUCUGGUUUGCCUCAUAGAUUCUUUUUGUUAUGUGUUUGAAACAGAUUGUUCAAAGUGUUCAAGUAUGAAUGUGUAGGCCUAGUGAACCCUGAAUGACUUGUUGGCCUUUGGUUCAACGUGAUUAGCCAUAUAGAGGGUGAAGGUCGUUUAAAAUAGUUAGAUUGUAUCUCCCUUGUCGUAAGUUUGUUUUGUCAAUGAAAGUAUGUUUCAUGGUUGCGCCUAGCUUUAACAGCUACGUAGACUUUCAUUUUUAGAGUUUCAAUUCCUAUAAAGUCAUAUGGUCGUAAUCGAAAGGCAAGAUUGAUGAUAACAUGUUGGUUAAGCAUUGCCUCUCUUUUCUUGCAUUUUAUUUCAAUUAUGUAUGAAUUCUUAUGAGCUUUGGCGAGUUAACUAUGUGAUAGUGAUGGCCCUAGUUCAUUGUCGCACAUCUAGUUGUGUUUGGACAUGCCCCCGGCGCAGUUAUAAUCCGUAAUUUUCUCAUGGUUUCACCCUAGCUCUUUAAAAGAACAAUUUGUCGUUAAUCUGUCCACCUGCUUUUUAUUCUUAAAGAAAAUAAAAAUGAAUCUGCUAGUUACCCUUUUAUUAUCAUUCCUAGCCCAAAACGUCUACACGUCUGUUGAAGUGUGAUAUAUUUUUUCCCCUAAAUAGUUAAUUUUAACUUUCUUUUAUAACUCAAAAUGCUUUGAGAUGUUCACGCAAUCUUAUAUACUUAAGGAAUACACAUGUUCAUAUCGGAUAACAGAGAUUCGAAUAAACAUAUUUGACUACUGUUAAAUCACUGUGAGUCUGAUUUGAAGAAUUUCAUAUGGUUCUUGUGUGGUUAUUUCAUAUAAUUUGUUACUUUUGAUCUUCUUUGAGGUUAACUUAGUUGAGAAAUAAUAAAUUAGUCAAUCUGGUUUUGCUGAGGUUGCUUAUGUUUAGUCUUUUUGGUUCUCUGUUCUAUUUAUGUAUUUUAUUGGGGAUUUUAGUUCAAAUGUAUUGUGUUCUGUUUGGCUUCCAGUUAAACUAUGUAUUAUCGCCAUUAUGGAUCUUGUUAGUAAAUUUGAAGUUUAAAACUCGGAUUUAUUAUGUAGUUUUGUGUUUAAAGACCUAAAACCUUUUGUUUACUGCAUUUGUAUCUCUGAUCAUGUACUUUUUGCAAAAAAUGUGUUCUGAAACAUGAUCAAUGGGUUUAUGCGAUAAUAUGUGCAAUAUCGUGAAACUUGUGUGACUACUCCAAUGCAUUCUUGCUAUCAUUAGAUUGUUGUCACGAUACACACUAAUUCUUAUAUUUUUUCUUAAUGCAUGUGGCGUUGACUUGAAUUCCAACGGACUCCAUUCCUUGCAUUUCUCAACGGGCCAAAGGGGCCUACAUCUUCUACGAGCUCAAAUGCCUUUAUUUUUUAAGAAACAAAGCUGUAUAUGCAUUUAUACAUCAGAAAUACAGCAUAUAUAUGGUGAAUGUGAGAAAAAAGAAGCUUAUUAUACAGGUGGACUAAAAUACGUGUAUAUGAUAAAGAUAUGGUCAUGUAUACACCAGAUAUACAAAAAUGCAGUAAGAAAAGUAGCUGAUAUACACAUCGUAUACACUGCAGAAAAAUGGACCGAAGUCCAUAAUUCAAACCCCAAAGCUGGGCAGCUUUAUUGAUGGGCUAACUAAGGGCCCAAUUUCAGUUCUUGUAUCAUUUUUAUAGCUUGUAUGCUUAUUUGUAUUAAUUAGCUUUUUAAUCAUUAACCUAGACAAAUUCCCUAAAGUGUUGUCAUUUUUAUUUUAUCUUAGUUUUCUUUUACUUAAUUCAUAAUUUCUUCACCUAAUUUAUAUUAUCUAAAACGGAUUAAAUCGGUUCCUUCAAUUCUCUUCCUAAAAUAAGUCUUUUAAAGAUUAAGUAUUUUAUUUCAAAAUGACAUUUGUCAUGUUCAUAUAACUAAUAGUCUAUUUGGAUUGAAGUAACUUUUUCAAACUCAAGAAACUAAUUUUUCUUGAAAAUUUGAACUUUUCAUGAUUACUAAGCAGUUUUAAUUUAACACUUUCUUAGCAUUUCUUCCAAAAGAAUUUUCUAUAACAUAAUCGAUUUUUCUAUAAUAAUUAAUAAUAAGAAAAUAAUUUUAAUAAUCUUCUUCUCCUACAAAAGCAAAAUUCAUUUUCCUCCUAAGUUCAGAAAUUACAAUUUAGUUCAAUUCAAAUAAAUUAUUUUCUCCUUUGAAUGAGUAAAUAUUAUUUUAAAUAUGUUUAAAUAAAUAAUUUUAAUGUUUUCUAUAAAAUCAAGUCUUUACAAAAAUUAGCCAUUUUUAGUUAGUCAAGCUAGUUCUUUUUGGUAAAUCGUUUUAAAUGGAGGCUCCUAAGUGCCCUAUAAACUUUCUUAGGACGUUAAUUGAACUCUUACCCAGUUUCUCUAGUUUUAAAGGUUUAUUUCUAUUUUUGAACAUUUGAAACUCUUUUAAGUUUUUUUCUUGACUUUUUCUAUAAAUAUCAACUGGCGACUUUGUAAAUUUCUUGAAAUUAUUUUGGAAUUUUCUUGAAUCUUUUGAAAUAGUUUUAAAGAGAUCAAAGCUAUUUUUUUGCCAAAAAAAAUGCGGAAAGGAUAAAACAGAAAUGAAGACUCUGCUGCGGAUUUAACUAGGUUCUAACCAAUUAUUUGAACUAACUUCUUAGACUAAUUAUUCGGGUUUAUAAAAUUUAAACUGUUGCAUUUCAUGUCAUACUUUCACAUUUAAAUAUUUAAACUAUUUUGGAGUUUCGCGAAUGUCCCGGCCCCUAUUUAUUAAUUCCAAAUGAAGUACUGGAAAUAUGACAGUUUAUUGGCACAUUAGGUGUCCAAUGACUGUUCGUAUUUUUUAAACCCGAGUAGUCCACUUGGAAACCUAGUCAAGCCCACUCUAGAUAUCUAGGAUAGAGUGAAAUCAAAACUCUUUUUAGGCAUGAGACUAGGACGACUCAAUACCUGAGGGGGCAUUAGGCCCAUUAGUAGAACCCACCUUAUGUCUAUUGACCACGAGUCAGUAACAGACGAUCAUUCUUUAUGUGCUUUAAUUAAAGGAUGUAAUGCUGGAUUGUACGGACUAUUGUCCCUUGGAAUAGAUGUGGGGGCAACGAAACAUCUUACAAACGGCAUGUUUACCCUUCAUACGCUAGACUUCCCUUUGGCUUGAACGGUCCUAUGUAUGCUAGGACGCGUAAUAACUGUUUAUGUGCUAAAGUAUUUUAUUGUUUUGCUUUGUCUAUAUUUGCUUGAUCGCUGUGUUUAAAUAACAUAUCUUUGGCUUUAAACAAGACUAGUCCAUUAUUCUAUUUUGAAAUCUUAGAGCAUUAAUAGGCAUAUACGGCUCAAAAUUUGAACCCUUCCAAAAUAUCCUUAAAAGUCCGUUGAUAAAAUUCCUUCCAAUUUGCCCAAAUUUGUUCAAAAUCUCAUUAGGUCAUUAUCCAAUUCACAUUAAUCAUGUUGCCCUCUCAAUUCGCUUUUCCCUGCAUUUGAUUAUAGUCAAAGCUAUCUAGACAUUCUAUUAAUGAAAAGACUAUGUUGUCUUUAAAGCUUUUCAAAUAAGCCUUUUUAGGAUGUUUAUUCUUUAAUAUUCGAUUUCUUCAAAAUCACUUAGUUCAUCCUGUUUGAAGUUCUAUUUUUCCCAUCAAAUUCAAGAUUCAUCAAAUGAUCAAAGUUCUAAUUAUUCGGUCACUUUCUAGAGUGUCUCAUCCUCUAAAUUCUGGACUUUGUCUGUUUCAAACCCAAUAGAUGCCAUUCGUUUCGUAUAUUACUUUGGUCAAUCAUUACGAUCAUGAAUUAACUUUUUAUCUUUUGAAUUUUUUUUUCCUUUUAGAGAGAGGCUGAUUUAUGUUGGUAGUCAAGUUUGCUCGCUCCAUAAAGACAAAAGUAAUCACUGGCAGAACAUCAGUAUUUCAC
This 5137-nucleotide long non-coding RNA is filed under the name Capsicum annuum. RNAcentral describes it as "long non-coding RNA (CANN_LNC022378)". The record is from RNAcentral. Lineage: Eukaryota; Viridiplantae; Streptophyta; Magnoliopsida; Solanales; Solanaceae.